This 1040-nucleotide small RNA is filed under the name uncultured Nitrosomonadaceae bacterium. RNAcentral describes it as "bacterial SSU rRNA". The stretch from base 1 to 486 matches the Rfam family "Bacterial small subunit ribosomal RNA", at positions 1045 to 1533 of the family's 1533-position model. Lineage: Bacteria; Pseudomonadati; Pseudomonadota; Betaproteobacteria; Nitrosomonadales; Nitrosomonadaceae. The record is from RNAcentral.
AUGGCUGUCGUCAGCUCGUGUCGUGAGAUGUUGGGUUAAGUCCCGCAACGAGCGCAACCCUUGUCAUUAGUUGCUACAUUCAGUUGGGCACUCUAAUGAGACUGCCGGUGACAAACCGGAGGAAGGUGGGGAUGACGUCAAGUCCUCAUGGCCCUUAUGGGUAGGGCUUCACACGUAAUACAAUGGCGCGUACAGAGGGCUGCUAAGCCGCGAGGUAGAGCCAAUCCCUUAAAGCGCGUCGUAGUCCGGAUUGCAGUCUGCAACUCGACUGCAUGAAGUCGGAAUCGCUAGUAAUCGCGGAUCAGCAUGUCGCGGUGAAUACGUUCCCGGGUCUUGUACACACCGCCCGUCACACCAUGGGAGUGGGUUUCACCAGAAGCCGGUCGCUUAACCGCAAGGAUGGCGCCGACCACGGUGAGAUUCAUGACUGGGGUGAAGUCGUAACAAGGUAGCCGUAUCGGAAGGUGCGGCUGGAUCACCUCCUUUCUAAGACAGCACUACUCAGUGCCCACCCUCUAUCGGCUGUCAUUUGAACGGCGGCGGCGAUUUCAUAGCGACAUUCGUUUUUCAUGUCGACCCAAGCGGGUCUGUAGCUCAGUUGGUUAGAGCACCGUCUUGAUAAGGCGGGGGUCGAUGGUUCGAAUCCAUCCAGACCCACCAGAUCCUCUUCGCUCUUUAAAAAUACGGGAUGGAAGGUAAAGUUGUUCUCGUUCACGAGAACGCGUGUUUGCAUGAGCGCGAGUCGAGUGGCGAGGGCUAACUGGGUUAUGUAUUGCAUCGUGUCCUCACGCGUUUCAUGGGUGAGGUGCACAAACUUAAGCGUGAGAGUUACCUAUGGCGUUGUGAUGGCUCGCGGCGACUUUGGCUGCGGUCGCUUCUUUCUUCGGAAGGAGGCAGCAAGGUUAUAGGGUCAAGCGAAUAAGUGCAUGUGGUGGAUGCCUUGGCAAUGAUAGGCGACGAAGGACGUGACAGCCUGCGAUAAGCUGCGGGGAGCCGGCAAAUGGGCGCUGAUCCGCAGAUUUCCGAAUGGGGAAACCCGG